This 746-nucleotide ribosomal RNA is filed under the name Micropsalliota pusillissima. RNAcentral describes it as "eukaryotic LSU rRNA". It matches the Rfam family "Eukaryotic large subunit ribosomal RNA", at positions 172 to 905 of the family's 3401-position model. Lineage: Eukaryota; Fungi; Basidiomycota; Agaricomycetes; Agaricales; Agaricaceae. The record is from RNAcentral.
GGACCGUAUAUAAGUCUCCUGGGAUGGAGCAUCAUAGAGGGUGAGAAUCCCGUCUUUGAUACGGACUACCAGUGCAUUGUGGUAUGCUCUCAACGAGUCGAGUUGUUUGGGAAUGCAGCUCAAAAUGGGUGGUAAAUUCCAUCUAAAGCUAAAUAUUGGCGAGAGACCGAUAGCGAACAAGUACCGUGAGGGAAAGAUGAAAAGAACUUUGGAAAGAGAGUUAAACAGUACGUGAAAUUGCUGAAAGGGAAACGCUUGAAGUCAGUCGCGUCUGCUGGGAAUCAGCCUCGCUCCUGCGUGGUGUACUUUCUGGUAUGACGGGUCAGCAUCAGUUUUGACCACUGGAAAAAGGUGUGGGGAAUGUGACAGCUCCGGCUGUGUUAUAGCCUCAUAUUGUAUACAGUGGUUGGGACUGAGGAACGCAGCACGCCGCAAGGCCGGGUCUUUGACCACGUUCGUGCUUAGGAUGCUGGCAUAAUGGCUUUAAGCGACCCGUCUUGAAACACGGACCAAGGAGUCUAACAUGCCUGCGAGUGUUUGGGUGGUAAACUCGAGCGCGCAAUGAAAGUGAAAGUUGAGAUCCCUGUCGCGGGGAGCAUCGACGCCCGGACCAGAACUUUUGGGACGGAUCCGCGGUAGAGCAUGUAUGUUGGGACCCGAAAGAUGGUGAACUAUGCCUGAAUAGGGUGAAGCCAGAGGAAACUCUGGUGGAGGCUCGUAGCGGUUCUGACGGGCAAAUCGAUCGU